ACCAGCAUGGCAUAGUGGUUGAGUGUUGGACUACAACUCUGCAGACCAGGGUUCGAUUCCCACUUGGCC
RNAcentral lists this transfer RNA (69 nucleotides) under Phrynosoma platyrhinos (Desert horned lizard). Its description in RNAcentral is "tRNA-OTHER". Lineage: Eukaryota; Metazoa; Chordata; Lepidosauria; Squamata; Phrynosomatidae. The record is from RNAcentral.